AUGUGAAUACAUAGCAUGCAAGAAGGCAGACCCGGAGAACUGAAACAUCUUAGUACCCGGAGGAAGAGAAAGAAAAAUCGAUUCCCUGAGUAGCGGCGAGCGAAACGGGAAGAGCCCAAACCAAUAAGCUUGCUUAUUGGGGUUGUAGGACACUCUGUACGGAGUUACAAAAGAAUUUGUUAGACGAAUAACCUGGAAAGGUUAAUCAGAGAAGGUAAUAAUCCUGUAGUCGAAAACGAAUUCUCUCUUGAGUGGAUCCUGAGUACGACGGAGCACGUGAAAUUCCGUCGGAAUCUGGGAGGACCAUCUCCUAAGGCUAAAUACUCUCUAGUGACCGAUAGUGAACCAGUACCGUGAGGGAAAGGUGAAAAGUACCCCGGAAGGGGAGUGAAAGAGAA
This 398-nucleotide ribosomal RNA is filed under the name Staphylococcus pseudintermedius. Its description in RNAcentral is "partial 23S ribosomal RNA". It matches the Rfam family "Bacterial large subunit ribosomal RNA", at positions 156 to 548 of the family's 2925-position model. The record is from RNAcentral. Lineage: Bacteria; Bacillati; Bacillota; Bacilli; Caryophanales; Staphylococcaceae.